Molecule: ribosomal RNA, 253 nt
Filed under: uncultured bacterium
Lineage: Bacteria
Description: partial 16S ribosomal RNA
Rfam family: Bacterial small subunit ribosomal RNA
Source: RNAcentral
UACGUAGGGCGCAAGCGUUGUCCGGAAUUAUUGGGCGUAAAGAGCUCGUAGGCGGUUUGUCGCGUCUGCUGUGAAAGCCCGGGGCUCAACCCCGGGUCUGCAGUGGGUACGGGCAGACUAGAGUGCGGUAGGGGAGACUGGAAUUCCUGGUGUAGCGGUGGAAUGCGCAGAUAUCAGGAGGAACACCGAUGGCGAAGGCAGGUCUCUGGGCCGCAACUGACGCUGAGGAGCGAAAGCAUGGGGAGCGAACAGG